This is a long non-coding RNA of Bombus pascuorum, 642 nucleotides long. RefSeq lists it as uncharacterized. The transcript has 2 exons. Lineage: Eukaryota; Metazoa; Arthropoda; Insecta; Hymenoptera; Apidae. The record is from RefSeq and is a predicted model, not a curated record.
UGUCGACUAUUUUGAACGAAUUUUGUAGAACUAUUUCAAAUUUCAAAUAAAACUCAGAUAACAAGAUCAGACGACAAGGACACGCUAGUAAAGCUAUGCAUAAAUUUAUAGACGACCUGAAACAUUCAGGUCAGUUUCUAUAUAUACAUAAUUUUUACAGCAGCAUACAAUUUACCUCCGAGCUGCUUCAAGGAAAAACUUACAUGAUUCGCAUUCUUGGAGCCAUUGGAAAGCCAAUAAUCCUACCUUUGUAAUAAAAAGGAAACUUUCUGAUGGAAAGAUGAUCCAACAAUGGGCCGAUGAUGCAAAUGGAAAGAUGAAAGAGAGGUACACAUUGACUGUAUCCUCCGCAUUUUGUGUAGCAAGAAACCAAAACCGUGUACUGGUAUAAUAAAUAUAUGAAAGGAAUGGAUCAACUUCCUUCAUACUAUGUUGACACAUGAAAAUCACCAAAAUGAUACAAAAAAUCAGGAUUUCAUAUCGUGGAAAUAAAGCUGCUCAAUUCUUUCUUACUAUUUAGAAGAUAUAAAAAUUAAUUUCGCUGGUGAAAUUAUAAACACUUUGACCCCAACCUGUCUCUCAAGCUAUCGCACCUAAUCUUGCUGCAUCGUUCAAAUUUUUGAAACAGUAAUCGUUUACCAG